AGAACGAACGCUGGCGGCAGGCCUCAAACAUGCAAGUCUAGGGGGUGUAGCAAUACAUCACCGGCGGACGGGUGCGUAACACGUGGGAAUAUACCUUUUGGUUCGGAACAACGCAGGGAAACUUGCGCUAAUACCGAAUGUGCCCUUACGGGGAAAGAUUUAUCGCCAAAGGAUUAGCCCGCGUAGGAUUAGCUAGUUGGUGGGGUAAUGGCUCACCAAGGCUCCGAUCCUUAGCUGUUCUGAGAGGAAGAUCAGCCACACUGGGACUGAGACACGGCCCAGACUCCUACGGGAGGCAGCAGUUGGGAAUCUUGGACAAUGGGGGAAACCCUGAUCCAGCCAUGCCGCGUGAGUGAUGAAGGCCUUCGGGUUGUAAAACUCUUUCGACGGGGACGAUAAUGACGGUACCCGUAGAGAAGCUCCGGCUAACUUCGUGCCAGCAGCCGC
RNAcentral lists this ribosomal RNA (447 nucleotides) under uncultured bacterium. RNAcentral's name for it is "SSU rRNA". It matches the Rfam family "Bacterial small subunit ribosomal RNA", at positions 26 to 518 of the family's 1533-position model. The record is from RNAcentral.